RNAcentral lists this ribosomal RNA (378 nucleotides) under uncultured eukaryote. Its description in RNAcentral is "partial 18S ribosomal RNA". It matches the Rfam family "Eukaryotic small subunit ribosomal RNA", at positions 592 to 976 of the family's 1831-position model. The record is from RNAcentral.
CAAUAGCGUAUAUUUAAGUUGUUGCAGUUAAAAAGCUCGUAGUUGGAUUUCGGGUGUGAACGACCGGUCCGUCUUUGAUGUGUACUGGUUGGUUGCGCCUUAUUGUCGAGGACGUGGUUCUGGCUUUCAUUAGCUGGGACACGGAGUCGGCAGCGUUACUUUGAGAAAAUUAGAGUGUUCAAAGCAGGCUAUCGCUCUGAAUACUACAGCAUGGAAUAACACGAUAGGACUCCGAGCCUAUUCUGUUGGUCUUCGGGACCGGAGUAAUGAUUAAGAGGGACAGUUGGGGGCACUCGUAUUCCGAUGUCAGAGGUGAAAUUCUUGGAUUAUCGGAAGACGAACAUCUGCGAAAGCAUUUGCCAAGGAUGUUUUCAUUAA